This 598-nucleotide long non-coding RNA is filed under the name Rattus norvegicus (Norway rat). RNAcentral's name for it is "long non-coding RNA NONRATT024096". The record is from RNAcentral. Lineage: Eukaryota; Metazoa; Chordata; Mammalia; Rodentia; Muridae.
UAUUCAUUCAGGCUUCAAGACCCAGCCUAAAGUCUCCAUGUAGCCCUUCCCACUCAUGACUCCCAACCCCAAAUCUGAACCACCUGCUCCUUUGUACCUUUGUGGACUUCUGAGUGUCCAUUCCUCUUGUCAAGUAGAUUAUUUGCUCUUACGACUCCCUCACUGGCUUGAUAUCUUUUCCUGGGUAGAGACAAUACUAUGCUUUUACAAUACUAUUCUUCCCAUAAUGCUUUGUACAUCAAAGCUGCACUACACGUCUCAACACAAGACUGCCUCUGCUGGGUUCACAAUCAGCUUGGGCAUUAAAGGGACUCAGACAGUUGAGGCUGGGACAAAGAAAACUUCAGCAAUCCUGCCUCCAUGCCUACAGACAAGAUUCUUCUCAACUGGGGCGAGUCCUGCCAGGGAGGAGAAGAGCAAAGACAGAGCUCAGUGUCUGCAGGGCUCAGGAAGCAGGUUCUACAGCAGGGGACGUGAACUGACAACCCCGAGGCUUGGACUUGGGAGAUGAUGCUGUUGGGUGAAUUUGGGAAGCUGAGUGGCUUCUCUUUGCCUCAGUUCUGAUUUCCGAGAAAUAAAAGCAACAGACAAGUCCUGA